AUGGACCAUUCCAUCCCUUAUUCCCGUGGCUAUGCAUCGAAUUCGGAUGACGAAGGUCCCGAUGAACAAGUUGAUGACGAGGGGUUCACGGUGAAGGAGGCCGAAGCUUUCGAGAAGGUAUUCGGUCGGGAUCAUCGAACUACAUUGUUCAAGGAUGUUAGUCUCGCGGAUGAAGCCGUGGUAGAUGGUGGUCAAGGUAUAUCUCUUGGGGUUAGGCCAAGCUCUCACCGUGAUUUGGGAGACGACAAGAAUCGGAUUGCUAAAGGGUCUAUGUUCGAAACCUUCUUGGAAUUGAAGAUGUGGCUCAACAACUACUCGUUUACGCAUUAUCGUCCACACAAGGUGGUGAACUCGAACGUCAAUGUGUGCUACACAGUUGCAUGUGCAUGUGAAGAUGAAAUUUGUGCAUGCAAGAGCAUGGAAAGGAGGUCCCACUUGGCACGUAGUGAGUUGUCUGCCAACUCACAUGUACCGAGGCAAAAUGGUGGAUGGCAAGAUUGA
This 501-nucleotide ribosomal RNA is filed under the name Triticum aestivum (bread wheat). Its description in RNAcentral is "partial small subunit ribosomal RNA". Lineage: Eukaryota; Viridiplantae; Streptophyta; Magnoliopsida; Poales; Poaceae. The record is from RNAcentral.